This is a long non-coding RNA of Nyctereutes procyonoides (raccoon dog), 524 nucleotides long. RefSeq lists it as uncharacterized. The record is from RefSeq and is a predicted model, not a curated record. Lineage: Eukaryota; Metazoa; Chordata; Mammalia; Carnivora; Canidae. The transcript is spliced from 3 exons.
CUGUCCGCAGCCCGGACCCGGGGCCCCGCUGACAACGGAGAAGCUCGAGGCCUGCGGCCUGGGAACCCCUGGGCGGGCGCUCCUGGCAGCGGCUCCCAGGAUGCGGGCUUCAAGGUCAGGCUGACGCUGGCCGACCUUGAGAGCCCCCCCCAGCUCUCGGCAGGCGAGCUCCAUCCCAUUAAGAAGCCGUUAGGAGCGCCAUCUGGUUCACUGCGCCCUGCUCCGCGAUCGAUGGCCGCUGGGCCAGUCUGAGCCCGGGGACCGGUGCUGCAAGCGACAGCAGAGCUGUCCUUGAUCCCAUCUUGCCGCUGGGAAAGGAGGCACAGAGAGGUCAAGCGACUCACCCAAGGCCACCCAGCUGAGGAGGAAAUCAAGACCCAGAGCAGUGGAUGUGAGUCUGCCGACUGUCUCCAGAGCUCACGUCUUGUCCCAAUGGAUGGAACAUCCUCAACUAUUAAACUCGGCGUUGAGGGGCUACCACCUACAGAAUCUCGUCGGACAACCAGGAGGAUGCAGAUCCACAG